This 499-nucleotide ribosomal RNA is filed under the name uncultured bacterium. RNAcentral describes it as "partial 16S ribosomal RNA". It matches the Rfam family "Bacterial small subunit ribosomal RNA", at positions 28 to 507 of the family's 1533-position model. The record is from RNAcentral.
GACGAACGCUGGCGGCGUGCUUAACACAUGCAAGUCGAACGGGCCCGCUCUCUUUUUUGGGGGUGGGUUGAGUGGCGAACGGGUGAGUAUCACGUGAGUAACCUGCCCCCUGCUCCUGGAUAACUGCUUGAAAGGGCGGCUAAUACGGGGUGUGCCGGCUGGUCCGCAUGGGCCUGGUCGGGAUAGUUUCAUCUUUGGGUGUUUCGGUGGGGGAUGGGCUCGCGGCCUAUCAGCUUGUUGGUGGGGUGAUGGCCCACCAAGGCGGUGACGGGUAGCCGGCCUGAGAGGGUGGGCGGCCACACUGGGACUGAGACACGGCCCAGACUCCGGCGGGAGGCAGCAGUGGGGGGGAUUGCACAAUGGGCGGAAGCCUGAUGCAGCGACGUCGCGUGAGGGAUGGAGGCCUUCGGGUUGUGAACCUCUUUCUCCGGUGGUGAAGGCCCUGUCCGUUGCGGCGGGGUUGACGGUAGCCGGGGAUGAAGCGCCGGCUAACUACGUG